Pseudopipra pipra is the source of this 2355-nucleotide long non-coding RNA. RefSeq lists it as uncharacterized. The record is from RefSeq and is a predicted model, not a curated record. The transcript has 3 exons. NCBI's taxonomy places the organism in Eukaryota, Metazoa, Chordata, Aves, Passeriformes, Pipridae.
ACGAGGAAUGAACAGUAGGCAGCAGGAGAGCUGCAAGGAGAGCUGCAGGUGUCAUCCAAGGGUCAUGAAUUGUCUAUGCAUGGGUUUUUCUAAGGGGUUGUGAUAGUUUUCACUCUAGGCCUUCCUGGAGACCAGCUUGUAACCAGGAAGGAACUAGGAAGGUGACCACGGAAGUAUUCCAUGCUAUUUCUUUACGUAACUUCAGAUAUAAAUAAAGCCAACGGGAGGGACCCCUCUCUCUUCCUUUCCGGCGAGGCUCGAGAACGGUGGGUCCCUGUCUCGGUCUUGCUUAUCUGGAGCUGAGGCCUGCAGUGACUGCUGUUAUCUGCCACGCGUGAGGGGAGAGCGCUGGGCCGUGUCCAGCCGUCCUGCUUCUCUCAAGGGAAGUGGUGAGAUUUUGCCAGUUCUUCAGUUUGCUGGUUACCGGGUUUUUAGAUUGUGUAGACCUGUUUUGGUUUUGUCCCUUUUCAUCCUAUUUUGUCCUUUUUCCCUUCUCCCUUCCCCUUUCCCCUUUAUGAAGCUAUUUAGGGUUUCUGGGGUUAUAGGUAUAUAAUAUUCUCACUGUAUAUAUCUGUUUCAUAUGUAAAAUAUAUAUUUUUGCUAUAGCUUUGGCUGCUUGGUUUUUUUUCUUCCCUCUCUGGGAAGCAGACCCUGUUGUCAAGUUUCGGAGACUUGGCGGGAAGCCAGCUCGAAACUUGCACAGGGGUGGCUUGAAGAGAAAGAGUGUGGAAGUUGCUGGGAAGGCAAAGGGGAGCCCAAAGGGUAGAGGGGCAAUGAUGAGCUAGAAAAGACCAGGAGGAAGAAAAUGGGAUUACUGGCAAAUAGAAAAAUUGAAGUGAACUGUUAGUGGAACAGUCAGGAACUGCGAUAAGGACAGCACACAAAGCCUUAUGGAACACACAGAGCCAUGCAGAGAUCAGAAGACCAUGUUGGCAAUUUCUCACCCGCCCACAGACUGGAUCUCCUGGGAGCCUGAGGAGGGUCUUCACAGAUUCACUUCUGUUAAGAUCCCCCAGGCUCUCACACACUCCCAGGUGCUUCAUUCCUGUUGCCUUUUUUAAGCUCUCCAUGUGUCUGAGCCUGGUAACACUUCUGCUUAUUUAGCAGUUGCUUUUCCUCCUUCAGCUGUCACACUCCUUUUGUGCCUUCCCAAGGAUGCUUUUCUCAGCUUUCCUUAUGUCCUUUCUGUUUUGUUCAGGGAGUCCUAAAUCUCAUGGUGCAGCUUCUCCUCUCAUCACAGGGAGGUGGGAAGUUCAUCACCAGUUACAAAUGUUGCCUUCUGCUCCUGACAGAACUGCAGGAUAAACUGGAUGUCUUCUCCUGUCUGUGAUGCAAAGCACCUCCCACCAUCAGCAUCUCAAUCCCCAAAUGGACAUGCCUUAAAUAACAUGUGAAAGUGUGAUUCACUCCAGAACCUGCUGCAUCAAGGACCAUCUUCCCAGACAACUCUUGGCCCAUGUCAUCUUUCCUCUCCCACUUGGGGACAAAUAUGAAUCUCAAGUGACUUCCAAGGAACACAAGGAAGGAUGACUCAUUGUCAUUUUAAGCUUCCUUGGCUAUAAAUAGUCCUCACUCGCAUGACACAGCAUUCCCACAGAUUCCUCGCUUCUCUACAUGCUGUAGAUACCCCAAGGAUUCACAAAUCGUUCCUGAGCUGUCCAAGUUUCAAGAAGAACAUGGGCAUGGGUAUGGAGUUUUCCAAAGGGACAUGAUCUCACAGGCACAGGGCUGACUACACCAAAUCUCCCCUCUGCUGCUUAUCACUUGCUGAGAAGAGAUGCCUUACAAAACCAUAAUUAACAUUUAAACCAGCAGUUACAGUAAAGACCUUCUUAGAAAAGAUACCCAGACCUGUUUUUCAUAAAAGCAUUUUUAUUGCCUCAAAGGUUUUAUUAAAAUCCCAACAGAUCAAUUACAGAUUAUUGUUUCAAGCCUCUACCUGCCUGGUUAUCACUCAGCCCACAACAGUGAAAGACGUGUGCUCCAUUACAGGCUCUCCUCUCCCUCUCUUGUAACCACUCACUAUUGUUCCCCAGUGUGGUAGUUUGGUCUGGGCCUUCCUUGGUGACCAGUUUGUAACCAAGGAAGGGCCCAGAUUUACCCGGUAUUCCCUACAAUUUUUACAUAAGCCAGACUAUAAGAAGAAAGGAGGGAAGGCCUUCGCUCUCUUUCCUUCCGGCGGCUUGGAGGUGCAGGUUCCCUGCUGUUGAGUCUGCAGUGUUGGGGAGCGAGGCCUGGUAAGGCCUUGUCGGCCUUGGGAGACGGAGGUUGCCGGCGAUCGUUCCAGCCUGACUUUCCGUUGUCCCAAGGAGAGUAGUGAGAUAUUUCUUUGCUAACUCUUUUAGUUCCUAGAUC